CAGUAGCCGGGUAAUACGUAGGGUGCAAGCGUUAAUCGGAAUUACUGGGCGUAAAGGGCGCGUAGGCGGCACGAUUAGUCAGGCGUGAAAUUCCUGGGCUCAACCUGGGGACUGCGCUUGAUACGGUCGAGCUAGAGGAUGGAAGAGGGUCGUGGAAUUCCCAGUGUAGAGGUGAAAUUCGUAGAUAUUGGGAAGAACACCGGUGGCGAAGGCGGCGACCUGGUCCAUUACUGACGCUGAGGCGCGACAGCGUGGGGAGCAAACAGGAUUAGAUACCCCCGUAGUCCCUGUCUCUUAUACA
This 301-nucleotide ribosomal RNA is filed under the name uncultured bacterium. RNAcentral describes it as "partial 16S ribosomal RNA". It matches the Rfam family "Bacterial small subunit ribosomal RNA", at positions 509 to 808 of the family's 1533-position model. The record is from RNAcentral.